This 464-nucleotide ribosomal RNA is filed under the name uncultured Klebsiella sp. Its description in RNAcentral is "bacterial SSU rRNA". It matches the Rfam family "Bacterial small subunit ribosomal RNA", at positions 339 to 795 of the family's 1533-position model. The record is from RNAcentral. Lineage: Bacteria; Pseudomonadati; Pseudomonadota; Gammaproteobacteria; Enterobacterales; Enterobacteriaceae.
CUACGGGAGGCUGCAGUGGGGAAUAUUGCACAAUGGGCGCAAGCCUGAUGCAGCCAUGCCGCGUGUGUGCAGAAGGCCUUCGGGUUGUAAAGCACUUUCAGCGGGGAGGAAGGCGUUAAGGUUAAUAACCUUGUCGAUUGACGUUACCCGCAGAAGAAGCACCGGCUAACUCCGUGCCAGCAGCCGCGGUAAUACGGAGGGUGCAAGCGUUAAUCGGAAUUACUGGGCGUAAAGCGCACGCAGGCGGUCUGUCAAGUCGGAUGUGAAAUCCCCGGGCUCAACCUGGGAACUGCAUUCGAAACUGGCAGGCUAGAGUCUUGUAGAGGGGGGUAGAAUUCCAGGUGUAGCGGUGAAAUGCGGAGAGAUCUGGAGGAAUACCGGUGGCGAAGGCGGCCCCCUGGACAAAGACUGACGCUCAGGUGCGAAAGCGUGGGGAGCAAACAGGAUUAGAUACCCGAGUAGUC